ACCGUAAGGAAUCGUUUGCCACAGUUCCGGCCGGCCGAGUCACUCUCACACGCACAGCUCAGCUCAGCUCACAAGUCACAACACACACGCGACCAAGUGAGCGGCUAUGGCGACGGGAAUGCCGGAGUGCUCCCCGGCCUUGCUGCUGGCUGCCGGCCUCGCCGUGCUAGCGAUCGGCUCGUACCUUGCCGCCAUCGUUGUCGGCCGCGGCGCCGCGCGGUACCCGCCUGUGGCCGGAACGGUGUUCCACCAGGUAUACCACCUCCGGCGGCUGCACGACUACUACACGGACCUGUUCCGCGAGCACGCGACGUUCCGGCUGCUCGCGCCGGGCCGGAGGCAGAUUUACACCUCCGACACGGCGGUGGUCGAGCACAUCCUCAGGACCAACUUCGCCAACUACGGCAAGGGCGCGUCUCACUACGACAAGACGAGCGAUCUCUUCGGAGACGGCAUCUUCACGGCCGACGGCGACAAGUGGAGGCAGCAGAGGAAGAUCGCCAGCUACGACUUCUCCACGAGGGCCCUCCGGGACUUCAGCGGCGGCGUCUUCAACAGGGACGCCGCCAAGCUCGCGCACAUCGUCUCCGGCAACGCAGCCGCGAAGCAACCCAUGGACUUUCAGGAGUUGCUGAUGAAAGCGACGAUGGACUCCAUCUUCACCAUCGCCGUCGGCGUGGACCUCGACACGCUGUCGGGGUCGGACGAGGGGAGCCGCUUCGCCGCGGCGUUGGACGACGCCAGCGAGUUCACCCUGCUCCGUUUCGUCAACGCCUUCUGGAAGGUGUCGAGGUUCCUCAACGUCGGCGCCGAGGCGGCGCUCAGGCGCAGGAUUGAGGUCGUCGACGAGUUCAUGUACAAGCGCAUCCGUGCCAGGGCGGACGAGAUAUCGGACGACGGCGAGGCACACGACACUGUUAGUAUGUUACGCUUGAAACCGAAGCUCAGGUUUUCCUUGACGUUGGUGACUCACUUGACAGGUGUCCAAGGAUGAUCUGCUGUCGAGGUUCAUACAGGCAAGCACCCGCGACGCCGGCGAGGUGGACUACAAGCACCUGAGAGACAUGAUACUGAACAUAGUCAUGGCCGGCAAGGACACGACCGCCGGAGCGCUUGCCUGGUUCCUGUACAUGAUGUGCAAGCACCCGGAGGUCCAGGAGAGGAUAAGCGAGGAGGCUGCCGACGCCGGCGAGGCCACGUCAUCGAUCGACGACUUCUCCCGGAGCCUCACCGACGAGGCGCUCAACAAGAUGCACUACCUGCACGCCGCCCUGACGGAGACGCUCCGGCUGUACCCUUCGCUCCCGCUGGAUAACAAGGAGUGCUUUUCCGACGACGUUUUGCCCAACGGCCUCAGCGUCGGCAAGGGAGACAUCGUGUUCUACGCCCCCUACGCCAUGGGCAGGAUGGAGCGGCUGUGGGGCGAGGACGCCAUUGCCUUCCGACCCGAAAGAUGGCUCGACGAGCGCGGCGAGUUCCUGCCGGAGAGCCCUUUCAAGUUCACGGCUUUCCAGGCUGGUCCAAGGAUCUGCUUAGGAAAGGAAUUCGCGUACAGGGAGAUGAAGAUCUUCGCGGCCGUGCUGCUCCGCUUCUUCGUGCUCGCGUUGCAUGACAAGGAUGCCAGCGUCAACUACAGGACCAUGAUCACGCUCUACAUCGAUCAGGGUCUCCAUCUGACGGCUACGGCCAGAGGCAUCGUGUAGCCACCUUUGUACUCAAGAUACGCGUACGUACAUGAUUGAAUAUCUCUUCUUCUUUUUUUGAGACUCGCGAUUGAAUGUCUCAAGUAUUGAAUCUUAGCCCGGACAUGGAAGUGGCUCCGUCUGAACAUAUAUUUUGUGAACUACCUUUUUUUUCACAUUC
RNAcentral lists this ribosomal RNA (1863 nucleotides) under Triticum aestivum (bread wheat). RNAcentral's name for it is "partial small subunit ribosomal RNA". Lineage: Eukaryota; Viridiplantae; Streptophyta; Magnoliopsida; Poales; Poaceae. The record is from RNAcentral.